GCACUCCUGGGGCGUCUCUAUCUCAUCGAGAGGAGGCGCACCCAGAGUGUACACGCUGAUACCCGAAAGAUGGUGAACUAUGCCUGGCCAGGACGAAGCCAGGGGAAACCCUGGUGGAGGUCCGCAGCGAUUCUGACGUGCAAAUCGAUCGUCGGAGCUGGGUUUAGGGGCGAAAGACCAAUCGAACCAUCUAGUAGCUGGUUCCCUCUGAAGUUUCCCUCAGGAUAGCUUGCGCUCAAAUUGAAACGAGUCUCAUCCGGUAGAGCGAAUGAUUAGAGGCCUUGGGGUCGAAACGACCUCAACCUAUUCUCAAACUCCAAAUGGAUGAGAACCCCGGCUUUCUCGAAUACACAUUGAUUGAAGCCGUGGGAUCGGAUCAGAGUGCCAAGUGGGCCAAUUUUGGUAAGCAGAACUGGCGCUGUGGGAUGAACCAAACGCGGAGUUAAGGCGCCUCAAUCGACGCUCAUGUGAAACCAUGAAAGGCGUUGGUUGCUUAAGACAGCAG
Molecule: ribosomal RNA, 505 nt
Filed under: Termatophylum hikosanum
Lineage: Eukaryota; Metazoa; Arthropoda; Insecta; Hemiptera; Miridae
Description: partial large subunit ribosomal RNA
Rfam family: Eukaryotic large subunit ribosomal RNA
Source: RNAcentral